UUGGAGACGGACACAGUUGGAGUCAGGAUGAAGCCCUUCGCAACAAUUGUGCUUGUGAUGUGCAUUUACCUGUCAGGAUCGGACAGUGCAGGAUUGAUGAAGAAAUCAGUGAUAUUCCCAAACAAAACAGCCAACAGCUUUGUCAGG
Long non-coding RNA from Amblyraja radiata (thorny skate), 147 nucleotides. RefSeq lists it as uncharacterized. Lineage: Eukaryota; Metazoa; Chordata; Chondrichthyes; Rajiformes; Rajidae. The transcript is spliced from 3 exons. The record is from RefSeq and is a predicted model, not a curated record.